This 497-nucleotide ribosomal RNA is filed under the name uncultured bacterium. Its description in RNAcentral is "partial 16S ribosomal RNA". It matches the Rfam family "Bacterial small subunit ribosomal RNA", at positions 28 to 507 of the family's 1533-position model. The record is from RNAcentral.
GAUGAACGCUGGCGGCGUGCCUAAUACAUGCAAGUCGAGCGAACAGACGAGGAGCUUGCUCCUUUGACGUUAGCGGCGGACGGGUGAGUAACACGUGGAUAACCUACCUAUAUGACUGGGAUAACUUCGGGAAACCGGAGCUAAUACCGGAUAAUAUAUUGAACCGCAUGGUUCAAUAGUGAAAGACGGUUUUGCUGUCACUUAUAGAUGGUUCCGCGCCGCAUUAGCUAGUUGGUAAGGUAACGGCUUACCAAGGCAACGAUGCGUAGCCGACCUGCGAGGGUGAUCGCCCGCACUGGAACUGGGACGCGGUCCAGACUCCUGCGAUAGGGAGCAGUAGGGAAUCUGCCGCAAUGGGCGAAAGCCUUACGGAGCAGCGCCGCGUGAGAUAUGAAGAUCUUCGGAUCGUGAAACUCUGUUAUUAGGGAAAAACAAAUGUGUAAGUAACUAUACACGUCUUGACGGUACCUGAUCAGGAAGCCACGGCUAACUACGUG